This 377-nucleotide ribosomal RNA is filed under the name uncultured bacterium. RNAcentral's name for it is "bacterial SSU rRNA". It matches the Rfam family "Bacterial small subunit ribosomal RNA", at positions 523 to 898 of the family's 1533-position model. The record is from RNAcentral.
AUACGUAGGGGGCGAGCGUUGUCCGGAAUUAUUGGGCGUAAAGCGCGCGCAGGCGGUCCCUUAAGUCUGAUGUGAAAGCCCACGGCUCAACCGUGGAGGGCCAUUGGAAACUGGGGGACUUGAGUGCAGAAGAGGAGAGCGGAAUUCCACGUGUAGCGGUGAAAUGCGUAGAGAUGUGGAGGAACACCAGUGGCGAAGGCGGCUCUCUGGUCUGUAACUGACGCUGAGGCGCGAAAGCGUGGGGAGCAAACAGGAUUAGAUACCCUGGUAGUCCACGCCGUAAACGAUGAGUGCUAAGUGUUAGAGGGGUCAAACCCUUUAGUGCUGUAGCUAACGCGUUAAGCACUCCGCCUGGGGAGUACGGCCGCAAGGCUGAA